This 254-nucleotide ribosomal RNA is filed under the name uncultured microorganism. RNAcentral's name for it is "partial small subunit ribosomal RNA". It matches the Rfam family "Bacterial small subunit ribosomal RNA", at positions 524 to 776 of the family's 1533-position model. The record is from RNAcentral.
UACGGAAGGGGGCUAGCGUUGCUCGGAAUUACUGGGCGUAAAAGGAGCGUAGGCGGACAUUUAAGUCAGGGGUGAAAUCCCGGGGCUCAACCUCGGAAUUGCCUUUGAUACUGGGUGUCUUGAGUAUGAGAGAGGUGUGUGGAACUCCGAGUGUAGAGGUGAAAUUCGUAGAUAUUCGGAAGAACACCAGUGGCGAAGGCGACACACUGGCUCAUUACUGACGCUGAGGCUCGAAAGCGUGGGGAGCAAACAGG